Long non-coding RNA from Mirounga angustirostris (Northern elephant seal), 1013 nucleotides. RefSeq lists it as uncharacterized. The record is from RefSeq and is a predicted model, not a curated record. The transcript has 3 exons. Lineage: Eukaryota; Metazoa; Chordata; Mammalia; Carnivora; Phocidae.
GAGAGGUCCUGGUAAUGAGUCAUGGACUCGGUGCCCUGGCUGCCUGUUUCUGUUCAGUGUGAGUCACUUCAUUUGCACAGAUGACUCUUGCUGCCAACCACUGCCCUCCAGGGAGGCUGUGGAGAUGGGUACCAGUGUGUGAGCUUUGCUUUCACACCCUCCAUAAGCAGAGACUCAGCUGCUAUGAGCAAUAUAACACUGACUCUGGGUGCCUUUCUUAAACUCUUCAUUUCAGUAAUAUCUUUGGGCCUAAAAACCUUGCAGAUAAGAGAGUUUUUUCAGUAGCCAUCAUUUGUGCUCUGACAUUGAGGAGAGGGAUAUGGUACCUGUUCACAGGGGGAAGGGAAGGCCUGCCAAUGUAUCAGUGGCCACCCCCCAUCGUCCUGGGUACAAGGAACCUUAAAGGAAACCCUAUGGGCAUUCCCUAACUUUUGUUCUAACCAAGGGAUAUGAUGGGAAGGGAGACAAUUCUAAUCUGGGAGAAGCAUGAGUUUCCUGUCAAAAGAACGUGAAAUCAAAUGAAGACUUUCCAUCUGCUGCAAAAUGCUCCUCAUUUCCGUGUGGGUGCACAUCACUCUUUGGAGGGCUGGGGAGACCUUCACGCUUGAUCACGGCUCUCCCUUCCCCGUCGCUUUCCCAAUGAUACUGCCCUCUUCCUAGGCCAGCAGAUGGCCAUGGUGAGCAGGGAAGUACCACCUGGAAAGAGAGAACAAGCACUGAGAUGCACUCGCUCCAAGUAAAAAGGAAGUUGGAGAAGACUAGACUCUCCAGUCUGAAGGAGGGCGAGAAAUGAGAGAAAGCCGACACGAAACUAUACCUUGUUUUUUUUUUUUACUUUUUGUUCAAGGGUAGUAUUCUCAGAGAAAUUUCACAAGUCCCAAGCACAUAACCAGAUGAACUUUUACAAACUGAGCACCCCUGUGUACCAGAUCUGGAAACAGGACAUGACCAGUAUCCCAGAAGCUCUCCUUGGGGCUCCUUCCUGUCACUAACCCUCCUCAUCAAGAGGAACC